This 253-nucleotide ribosomal RNA is filed under the name uncultured bacterium. Its description in RNAcentral is "partial 16S ribosomal RNA". It matches the Rfam family "Bacterial small subunit ribosomal RNA", at positions 524 to 776 of the family's 1533-position model. The record is from RNAcentral.
UACGUAGGUGGCGAGCGUUGUCCGGAUUUAUUGGGCGUAAAGCGCGCGCAGGCGGUUGUCUAAGUCUGCUGUGAAAUCCCCCGGCUCAACUGGGAGGGGGCGGCGGAGACUGGGCGACUGGAGGGACCUAGAGGCCGGUGGAAUUCCCGGUGUAGUGGUGAAAUGCGUAGAGAUCGGGAGGAACACCUGUGGCGAAGGCGGCCGGCUGGGGGUACCCUGACGCUGAGGCGCGACAGCGUGGGGAGCGAACCGG